AACGAACGCUGGCGGCAUGCCUAACACAUGCAAGUCGAACGAGACCUUCGGGUCUAGUGGCGCACGGGUUCGUAACGCGUGGGAACCUGCCCUUAGGUUCGGAAUAACUCCCCGAAAGGGGUGCUAAUACCGGAUAAUGUCUUCGGACCAAAGAUUUAUCGCCUUUGGAUGGGCCCGCGUUGGAUUAGCUAGUUGGUAGGGUAAAAGCCUACCAAGGCGACGAUCCAUAGCUGGUCUGAGAGGAUGAUCAGCCACACUGGGACUGAGACACGGCCCAGACUCCUACGGGAGGCAGCGGUGGGGAAUAUUGGACAAUGGGCGAAAGCCUGAUCCAGCAAUGCCGCGUGAGUGAUGAAGGCCUUAGGGUUGUAAAGCUCUUUUACCCGGGAUGAUAAUGACAGUACCGGGAGAAUAAGCUCCGGCUAACUCCGUG
This 433-nucleotide ribosomal RNA is filed under the name uncultured bacterium. Its description in RNAcentral is "partial 16S ribosomal RNA". It matches the Rfam family "Bacterial small subunit ribosomal RNA", at positions 29 to 507 of the family's 1533-position model. The record is from RNAcentral.